GGUGCGUAACGCGUAUGCAACCUACCUUGAACUGGAAUAUAGCCCCGAGAAAUCGGGAUUAAUAUUCCAUAAUGUCCAUUUUUUGCAUAUGAGAUGGAUUAAAGUUACGGCGGUUCAAGAUGGGCAUGCGUGACAUUAGCUAGUUGGUGAGGUAACGGCUCACCAAGGCGACGAUGUCUAGGGGUCCUGAGAGGGUUUCCCCCCACACUGGUACUGAGACACGGACCAGACUCCUACGGGAGGCAGCAGUAAGGAAUAUUGGUCAAUGGACGCAAGUCUGAACCAGCCAUGCCGCGUGCAGGAUGACUGCCCUACGGGUUGUAAACUGCUUUUACGUGAGAAAAAACUCCCCGAUUCGUUCGGGGACUGAUGGUAUCACAUGAAUAAGCAUCGGCUAACUCCGUGCCAGCAGCCGCGGUAAUACGGAGGAUGCAAGCGUUAUCCGGAUUCAUUGGGUUUAAAGGGUGUGCAGGCGGAAUGAUAAGUCAGAGGUGAAAUCCCCCGGCUCAACCGGGGACCUGCCUUUGAUACUGUUGUUCUUGAGUAUAGUUGAAGUGGGCGGAAUGUGUCAUGUAGCGGUGAAAUGCAUAGAUAUGACACAGAACACCGAUAGCGAAGGCAGCUCACUAACCUAUAACUGACGCUCAUGCACGAAAGCGUGGGGAGCAAACAGGAUUAGAUACCCUGGUAGUCCACGCUGUAAACUAUGAUCACUAGUUGUUAGCGAUACACUGUUAGCGACUGAGGGAAACCAUUAAGUGAUCCACCUGGGGAGUACGGCCGCAAGGUUGAAACUCAAAGGAAUUGACGGGGGCCCGCACAAGCGGAGGAGCAUGUGGUUUAAUUCGAUGAUACGCGAGGAACCUUACCUGGGCUUAAAUGCAGGACGACAUCCCGUGAAAACGGGAUUUCUUCGGACGGCCUGCAAGGUGCUGCAUGGUUGUCGUCAGCUCGUGCCGUGAGGUGUCGGGUUAAGUCCCAUAACGAGCGCAACCCCUAUUCUUAGUUGCCAUCAGGUAAUGCUGGGAACUCUAAGGAAACUGCCUACGCAAGUAGUGAGGAAGGUGGGGAUGACGUCAAAUCAGCACGGCCCUUAUGUCCAGGGCGACACACGUGCUACAAU
This 1123-nucleotide ribosomal RNA is filed under the name uncultured organism. RNAcentral's name for it is "bacterial SSU rRNA". It matches the Rfam family "Bacterial small subunit ribosomal RNA", at positions 105 to 1231 of the family's 1533-position model. The record is from RNAcentral.